Camelina sativa (false flax) is the source of this 953-nucleotide RNA transcript. RefSeq lists it as uncharacterized. The record is from RefSeq and is a predicted model, not a curated record. NCBI's taxonomy places the organism in Eukaryota, Viridiplantae, Streptophyta, Magnoliopsida, Brassicales, Brassicaceae.
GUAAACCCUUUCACUUCUCACCUUUUUCAAUCUUCGCCAUCGUUCUCUCACCUCUGAUGUUUCUUCGCCGUUUCAUUCCCCUUUAUCAGCAUAGGGAAAAAAACUCUCGCUCAGUCAAGAAGCUACACACAUGGGUCGACGAUGGGACCAUAAAUGUUGAUCUCUCUAACAGGGAAUCUCUUUUGGUUUCAUCGGAAACAGAUGUUGAAUCUCCCAUAAACGAAGCGGAGGAAGAAGAAAGCCACUUGCCCUUAGAUGAACCCUAAACACAUACAAAACAACUGUGGUUCAGGGCUCUACUACUUCUGCAAGACCAGUGAGAAAUCGCCGCCCAAACAGGAAAUAUGAAGAUGGCUUAUCCAGAGAUCAAACAUUUGGCAGGACAUGUAACGAAAAAGCUGUCACCAAGGUACAAGGCACCACAGAUGUUAAGGGGGGUGAAUCAGUAAUUUUAUUAUCUGAUAUUGAAGAUGUAACCACCUUAAACAAAGAAGAUGAAGUGAAAGAAGACAAUGACCUGCCAUCACAGACAAAUACUGAUGGCGAGGUUUCCGUACUACCUGCAAAAACAAGGAGAAAGCACCGAGCAACCAGGUGAUUUGGAAUUUGGUUGAAACACAAUGUGAAACCCUUUCUUGCCUGUAAUUUUAACUUUACACCAACAUGAGACAUGGAGCUGAAGAUGGAUUGCUCUCGGUACUCCCGAAGAAAGAAAACACCCCCAGGAAAACGACCGAAACAGUAUCUCCAAAAGUUACAAGGACCCGACGUAUUAGCGGAUGCAAAAAUCAAAUCAUCUCAUCUGAUUUUGAGGGGUACAACGAAGCAAUACAACUGUUGGAUUAAAAUAUUGUAACUUUAUAUAAACAAAGAAGUGUAAAACAAAAUUUGUGAAAACUAACUCGUGCCCAUAUGGAAAAUUGGAGAUGCCACAAAGAAACACAAUUGUUGAA